CGCGGGUUCUUCUCACAUCUCCCCACCAUCCCUCCUCUUCGUCUGUUGUAUGUCAAACUGCCAUAGACAUCGCGUUAUUAUAUUCCCUGACCGUCCGUUAAACAUCAUAGAGACGCGAUAUUUCCCACAACCCAUACACAUGCAAUGUUUUAGUUAGAUGCGCCCAACCUACCCUUGGUGUAUCCCGCCUACCUCCAUCUGGAACCGUCUCAACCGGCUCAGAAACAUGACGUUGGACAGAGUAGCUGGAGGAAAUGAUGACACCGGCGGUGGUGCUGUGGGGACCUCCCCAGCCCACGCUCAUAGAACACUGAAGAAAUUAAUUUUUGCGCCAGGAGACAUCGCAGCACCGCAUCCCGCCCCUACCCAGCAGCGGCAGCAACAACCCCUCACAACCACCAGC
RNAcentral lists this small RNA (403 nucleotides) under Histoplasma capsulatum. RNAcentral describes it as "hypothetical RNA". Lineage: Eukaryota; Fungi; Ascomycota; Eurotiomycetes; Onygenales; Ajellomycetaceae. RNAcentral also lists the same sequence under 1 other name. The record is from RNAcentral.